GUUAAAAAGCUUCGUAGUUGGACUUCUGCAUGGAAGGAGCGGUCCACCCAUUGGGCGCGUACGGCUACCUUUGAUGCAUCUUUCUGAGGACGUGUUCUUCACUUAAUUGUGAGGGCGCAGGACUCAGGACAUUUACUUUGAGGAAAUGAGAGUGUUUCAAGCAGGCAAAUGCCUUGAAUACGUUAGCAUGGAAUAAUAGCAUCGGACCAUCGUCCAGCUGUUGGUGUCUGGGCGAAGGUAAAGGUGAAUAGGGAUUGUUGGGGGCAUUCGUAUUUAACUGUCAGAGGUGAAAUUCUUGGAUUUGUUGAAGACGGACCACUGCGAAAGCAUCUGCCAAAGAUGUUCUCAUUGAUCAAGAACGAAAGUUAGGUGAUCGAAGACGAUCAGAUACCGUCCUAGUCUUAACCAUAAACUAUGCCGACUGGAGAUAGGAAGCGUUUAUCUUACGACUCUUUCUGCAUCUUGAGAGAAAUCAAAGUCUUUGGGUUCCGGGGGGAGUAUGGUCGCAAGGCUGAAACUUAAAGGAAUUGACGGAAGGGCACCACCAGGAGUGGAGCCUGCGGCUUAAUUUGACUCAACACGGGGAAGCUUACCAGGUCCGGACAUAGGUAGGAUUGACAGACUGAGAGCUCUUUCUUGAUUCUAUGGGUGGUGGUGCAUGGCCGUUCUUAGUUGGUGGAGUGAUUUGUCUGGUUAAUUCCGUUAA
RNAcentral lists this ribosomal RNA (706 nucleotides) under uncultured marine alveolate. RNAcentral's name for it is "SSU rRNA". It matches the Rfam family "Eukaryotic small subunit ribosomal RNA", at positions 618 to 1331 of the family's 1831-position model. The record is from RNAcentral.